CGGCCCUGGAGUGGCCCGACUGGAGUUUGGUCAAGGAGAGAAUUUUGUUGCCUCAUCACAGGGCGCGUUUGUGAAAUGACAGGGGAAGCUCUGAUGCAGGUCACCAAGAGCAGGGGAGUCCGUGCUGCAUUUAUCCAGACUUGUCGACUGAGGAAAGAGCCUCUGUAUUACAAACAACAGGCAUUUAUUUGGGCAAUCAGAACUGCAAUUCGAGAGGCACAGACUCAGGUAGAAACCCAAAAUGUGCUCAGAGGAAGACAAACGAGGCAAGGCUUUAUAAAGGCAGAAACAGAUAAAUCACACAGGUUGUUUUUCCAGAUUUGUGUUGGUGCCGGCAACACUGUUGCCUCGUGGUUGAUCCUAAGACCAUUGCUGAGGCAAAAGUUCUCACCUAUGGGAAUAAGCACAUUUCUGGAAAGAAGGUCAGGAUGACGACAGUGAGGCUCACUUCAAAAGUCACUCUACCUCUGGGUAGAGACGUGGUGGGCAUGCACAAGCCCCACUUCCUUGAGGACUCCCAGCCCAGUCUUAGAAGGCUUGACACAUGUCCCUGCAUUUUGCUAUCCUGUCCACAGACUGUGAGUUAGAGGCUGUGCUAACGGGAGCUUUACAAGCAGUAGAGGAAUCAUGCUCGGGUUAUGGGUGGAACGAGGCUCAGAGAGGGCGAGGAACUCUUCCAAAGCCUCACAGCAAGUGCACAUUGGGUCUUCACGCUGAAGACGAGCCCUCCCAUCCUUAUCUCAUGUGUGCUGUGACCCUGUGAGGCAGUCUCAUUCCUGUCUGACAGGAUAAUAAUAGCUCAAAAUGCUCAAAGGACUGCCCGCAGUCACAGAGUUAGUAAGUCAAAGAGCAAGAUUGUUUAUAUUUGCCAAGGAACUUUUUAAUUUGGAAAAUAUAGAAAAGUACAAAACCAGAACACAAAUUUCACAUAAAUAUACAUGGGUUUGUUAGUAAUAUUGAUGGUGUACAUUAUAUUUAAUCGCAGGAAUGUGCUUUUUUAUAUUUGCCAUUGUUAUGUAUAUAUUUGGUUGUAGUCACUGAG
RNAcentral lists this long non-coding RNA (1042 nucleotides) under Equus caballus (horse). RNAcentral's name for it is "lncRNA (ENSECAG00000047893.1)". Lineage: Eukaryota; Metazoa; Chordata; Mammalia; Perissodactyla; Equidae. The record is from RNAcentral.